Molecule: unclassified non-coding RNA, 229 nt
Filed under: Hevea brasiliensis (rubber tree)
Lineage: Eukaryota; Viridiplantae; Streptophyta; Magnoliopsida; Malpighiales; Euphorbiaceae
Source: RNAcentral
CUGCUGAGAGAAAUGGUUAAACAUUUAGUGUUUUAUCUUAUUAGUCUGUGCUUGGCCUCAACAUUGGGCCUUCAUGGCUCAUUCAGUCAUUACAUCAAGACUCAUGAUUUUCUAAUGUAUCUCCCUUUGAAAAGAUUGAAGGGAAUAACUAAGAAAACCUAUUCAAAAUCAUACAUAUGCUAUUCACUGCUAUAUUCCUAAGAAAAAUCAUGUUAGCAAAAAAACUAAG